This 74-nucleotide transfer RNA is filed under the name Candidatus Roizmanbacteria bacterium. RNAcentral describes it as "tRNA-Arg". It matches the Rfam family "tRNA". Rfam says of the family: Transfer RNA (tRNA) molecules are approximately 80 nucleotides in length. Their secondary structure includes four short double-helical elements and three loops (D, anti-codon, and T loops). The record is from RNAcentral. Lineage: Bacteria; Candidatus Roizmaniibacteriota.
GUCCUCGUAGCUUAAUUGGAUAGAGCAUUGGGUUGCGGACCCAAAGGUUGGGCGUUCAAGUCGCCCCGGGGACA